RNAcentral lists this transfer RNA (85 nucleotides) under Felis catus (domestic cat). It matches the Rfam family "tRNA". Rfam says of the family: Transfer RNA (tRNA) molecules are approximately 80 nucleotides in length. Their secondary structure includes four short double-helical elements and three loops (D, anti-codon, and T loops). The record is from Rfam by way of RNAcentral. Lineage: Eukaryota; Metazoa; Chordata; Mammalia; Carnivora; Felidae.
GCCUGGGUGGCUCAGUCAGUUAAGCGUCUGACUUCAGCUCAGGUCAUGAUCUCACGGUUCAUGGGUUCGAGCCCCAUGUUGGGCU